UACAGAGGUCCCAAGCGUUGUUCGGAUUCACUGGGCGUAAAGGGUGCGUAGGUGGCUGGGUAAGUUUGAUGUGAAAUCUCCAAGCUUAACUUGGAAAUGGCAUUGAAUACUAUCUGGCUGGAGGUUUGGAGGGGGGACUGGAAUUCUCGGUGUAGCAGUGAAAUGCGUAGAUAUCGAGAGGAACACCAGUGGCGAAGGCGAGUCCCUGGACAACACCUGACACUGAGGCACGAAAGCUAGGGGAGCAAACAGG
RNAcentral lists this ribosomal RNA (253 nucleotides) under uncultured bacterium. RNAcentral describes it as "partial 16S ribosomal RNA". It matches the Rfam family "Bacterial small subunit ribosomal RNA", at positions 524 to 776 of the family's 1533-position model. The record is from RNAcentral.